This 802-nucleotide long non-coding RNA is filed under the name Sus scrofa (pig). RNAcentral describes it as "lncRNA (ENSSSCG00060028034.1)". The record is from RNAcentral. Lineage: Eukaryota; Metazoa; Chordata; Mammalia; Artiodactyla; Suidae.
AUCUCAUAGACUAUUUUGAAAAUAGGACACAGUGUUGGUUAAGCGGUAUCUUUUCUCUUUAAUUUUCCCAUUCGCACCCCCCGUUGUAACACUAAACGUUAAUAUAUCAUUGGGAUGCUUUUAUUUCUUCAAAAAUCAAGGGGUAUACCUUUCGUUUUGUUCCAGUUUUCAGUGACUUUCCUCAAAAGUAUAGAAAAUAUAAUGCAAUUCUAUUCUUUAUUUUUCCUGCAGCUCUGUUGUUACUGAAAAGGUCUCGGAUUCCCAUUUUUAAAGCAGACCGACCAUUCAUCUUUUUCCUGAGAGAGCCCAACACAGAAUUUGUCUUCAGUAUUGGGAGAGUUUCCGAUCCCCUAAACUAGCAGAUCUCAGGCGUGUUCUCCACUUUCAUCUAUGCUUUCUUCAUAAAAAGUUGCAUUUCAUUUGGCUAUACCCUUGCAAUUUUAAAAAUGUUCUGCUAAAGUAUAAAAAGGUAAGGGUAUGUGACUUUCAAAUAUCAUGAACCUAAAAAUACUUCACUUUUACUAUAAUUUUAUAAAUUUAUUUUGCUCUCUCUUCAUCUAAAUGUACUUUAACCUUCUUUUCUACUGGUUAUCCCCAAAGCACUACAAGGCACAGAAGUGAUCUAUGAAUGGUGAGUCAGGCCACAGGGUCACAUCCUCAGUAAGGACACAGGAGGCCAUCUUGGACUGAGAAUGGACAGUGACUAGCGUUCGGUUUUCCUUACGCUGGGUAACUCAGGGAGAACGUGUUUCUUUUUCAUUUAACUUUUAAAUAAACGACAAAUCGAAGUGAGAGAAUAGCA